GAGUUUGAUCCUGGCUCAGAACGAACGCUGGCGGCAGGCCUAACACAUGCAAGUCGAACGAGCUGAGACCUUCGGGUCUCGAUGCUAGUGGCGCACGGGUGAGUAACGCGUGGGAACCUACCCUGUAGUACGGAAUAACUAAGGGAAACUUUGGCUAAUACCGUAUACGCCCCUCGGGGGAAAGAUUUAUCGCUAUAGGAUGGGCCCGCGUCUGAUUAGGUAGUUGGUGAGGUAACGGCUCACCAAGCCGACGAUCAGUAGCUGGUCUGAGAGGAUGAUCAGCCACACUGGGGCUGAGACACGGCCCAGACUCCUACGGGAGGCAGCAGUGGGGAAUAUUGGACAAUGGGCGAAAGCCUGAUCCAGCCAUGCCGCGUGAGUGAAGAAGGCUUUCGGGUUGUAAAGCUCUUUCGACGGGACGAUGAUGACGGUACCCGUAUAAGAAGCCCCGGCAAACUUCGUGCCAGCCGCCGC
Molecule: ribosomal RNA, 474 nt
Filed under: uncultured Alphaproteobacteria bacterium
Lineage: Bacteria; Pseudomonadati; Pseudomonadota; Alphaproteobacteria
Description: bacterial SSU rRNA
Rfam family: Bacterial small subunit ribosomal RNA
Source: RNAcentral